AGAAUCAACGCUGGCGGCGUGCCUAACACAUGCAAGUCGCACGAGAAAGUGGAGCAAUCCACGAGUAAAGUGGCGCACGGGUGAGUAACACGUGAAUAAUCUACCUCCGAGUGGGGAAUAACUGAGAGAAAUCUUAAGCUAAUACCGCAUAAUACCCACGGGUCAAAGCAGCAAUGCGCUUGGAGAGGAGUUUCGCGGCCGAUUAGCUAGUUGGCGGGUAAUGGCCCACCAAGGCGAUGAUCGGUA
This 246-nucleotide ribosomal RNA is filed under the name uncultured bacterium. RNAcentral's name for it is "partial small subunit ribosomal RNA". It matches the Rfam family "Bacterial small subunit ribosomal RNA", at positions 26 to 285 of the family's 1533-position model. The record is from RNAcentral.